GAUCUCCACACUCAGAAUCCGACUGUUUUUUCCAAUCCUGGCUCUGUAUGAUGUCACUGAGAGCUAAUGCCUCAUAACAAAAUAUGAAUAGCUCAGGUUUAUGGACUCGAAUUGUGACAUUUGAUCAGGACAGUAAAAAUGUGUAUGUAAUGUAUUUCUCUGCAACACCUACUUUUUACAGAUAAAAACUGGGGAUGUGUCACCGUGGCAACCAAGAAAACAGCUUUAAAGGAAGUGCCAACGAUUGUGUCUUAACCCAGACUGUGUCCUGUUUCAUUCCUAACUCUAACCAAUGGUUUUUAAUACUAAAUUUAAUCAAAGCACACAUUUAAACGUUAAAAAAAUUAAUAAUACUUGUGAAGUGAUUUACUCGAGCUCCACCAUCAGCUCCUCCUGUGCCCGCAGCCUUCUCCAGCCUCCAACCAUGAACUGUUUCACCGUUUGAAAGUGGAAAAUCCUGAUUUCAUGAACAUGGAUUGUACAUAUGAGACCGGACGGAUUUAAAGUCAGGGUCAGACUGUCUUCCCGUCUCGGGCACACAGCUCUGGUUGCGAGCAGUGGCAUCCACCCACCUGCUGCUUGGGCCUCCUGUUUGAGAGGGGCGGCCUAUCAGAAGAACGUUGGUUUAAACUGUGAGGACAUAAACAGCUCACAUGAGAAAGAAGAUGAACUGAGAUUCCACGUCAAGUAUUUCUGUUUAUGCAUGAACGGCAUGCAUAUUUGCAUUAAAUCCUCUAGCAGAAAGCAGAGAAAUAUGACAGAGUGUGAACAAAAGAAAACAGCCUUCCACCGAGACCGAGAGAGAGACCCUCCUGUGCAAGAGAAGUAGGACAGGAAACGUGAGGACAGUGAACAUCUGCUUUCCACCCGAUGGAAAAGGACCUCCCUCUUCCUUCUCCUUUCCCCUUAUUACACAUUAUCAAACGAAAGAUAAGAAACACCCAAAAAUACAGGUGAGUUAUCAAAGCAACCUGGGCUGUGAGUAACACCCCAGCAGCUACAAGCUGAGCACCUCUGUGCCAAACCACACUGAUGCAGUAAUUCAUGAUAAAGGAGCCACAAAUAAGUAUUGAGUGUGUAAAUGAAAAUACUUUUUAGAAGUUAUAGAUAUAUUUAUAUCGAAUAAAAACAUGUCAAAAGUAUGGCCUGGGGACAAAAGUGAUCUGCCAAGAGUUCCACAACCCGACCUGCUGGGGGCUUUGCUAAAGGGCAGUAAAUCAGCUUAGAUGACAGUUUAGUUUUCUGUGAAUUUUACAGGAAAUCAUGGAGCAGACUGCCAGUACUUUUUCUAUCAUUUUACAGAUCUGUUUCGUAGACUAUAAACUCGUGGAGACAUGCUGAUGUGUCUCUAUUAUGGUCAUUUGUGCAGAUAAGUGCUUGACAAUAGGCAAUCUCGUACACACGCACACCUUCAUACACCACGUUACUUUUUGCAUAAUGCUCAGUAUUUUGCACCUUUCUAUUGUCUCGUGUCUGUGUCGUUCUGUUCUGUCUGCUGUUGCACAGUGUUUGUUUUGGGGGUUUUGCAAUUUUUGCACUUUGCACUUUAUGUAGUCCUGUGUAGAUUGUCUGUUAUAUGUCACAUGUAGCACCGCGGUCUUGGAGGAACGUUGUCUC
This is a long non-coding RNA of Astatotilapia calliptera (eastern happy), 1617 nucleotides long. Lineage: Eukaryota; Metazoa; Chordata; Actinopteri; Cichliformes; Cichlidae. The record is from Ensembl.